Molecule: long non-coding RNA, 1694 nt
Filed under: Melopsittacus undulatus (budgerigar)
Lineage: Eukaryota; Metazoa; Chordata; Aves; Psittaciformes; Psittaculidae
Description: lncRNA (ENSMUNG00000020202.1)
Source: RNAcentral
CCCAGACAUCCGGUUUUAUCAGCACUGACCCGGGAAGCACGUUUUAGGGUGUGGGAGCGCAUUUUCACAUGAAAAUCUUGCAAACAGAUUUGGCAUACGAGUCUUACUGUUAUUACUACCUGUGCUAACAGAUGUAGCACACACACAUUAUGUGCUCGUUACGAGCAGCAACUGAGCGGUUCCCGACCAGGAGGCGCUCUAGAUAUGCACCUCAGAUGCAGACCCGCUGCAGGCGAGGCGGGGACGCCUCGGGCCGAGCCGAUUUUAACCUCCAGCUCGAUACCGCCUGGUCUGGGGCCGGACCUGGGGUCAGACGGGUACCGCCCCACACCACCGCGAGCACGACGCUGAACUAAGGUGAACUGAACCGAAGCGACGGCUCCGCACAUGCGCAGCGCGAAGGGCGGGUGAGUCAGCGGCGGCUAGUGGCCGUCGUGCCCGCCUGGCGGCCCGAGGUCCCUUCGCACAUCCGGGUGCUCUAGGACCGCCCACCGCCGGCCUCCCGGCUACCGUCGCUGCUCGGGGCCAGCGGGGGCUCCGCCGCAGCCGCGCCGGGCCCCUCCGAUGCGAAUCGCCGCCCGCUCGCCGGCCGCUGGCAUACGGCGGCGGCGAGCGGUCGGGCUCCGCGCGCGGUCCCCGCCAUGAUGCCAGCCCUGGCCGCACAGCGGCGGGGCUGCCACGGCCUCUACCGCCUGUACCUGCGCUGCCGGGCGGCGCCGCUCCCCCGCGCCUGCCACGGAUGGAAAGCUCCAGUGAAAAGUGGGGGUCUGUCUUGUUUUCUACCAUGCCAUCGUCUGCCUGUGCAGUUGAUGAGUCAAGUGAGAGUUUAUACCUCCAGUGGUCAAAAAAAAGAUCUUGGAUCAGAAGAUACAAAAGGGUCAAUCCCUGAAGAAAACCUGCAUAAAGCUGGAACAGGACAAGAUAAGACCAAUGCAGGCCAGAAGCAGUCUGUCCUUAAAGAGCCAAUCCAAGUAAAAGGCAUGUCCAUUCACCAUCGCAGACCUAACGUGGCUAAGCUGAAUACUUGAUCUUCUUCUGUUCCUUCUUAUUGCUAAGUUAAUCUAAUCAGUGUUGCUUCUAAAUAUAUUUUGACCACAUGAACUGUCUAAUCUGAGUCCUGUAAUGUUCCCAUUUAUGUCUGUAGUAAUGUAGUGAGUUGGCCUGGCUGGAUGCCUGGUGCCCACCGAAUCUGCUCUAUCACUCCCGUUCUUCAACUACGCACAGGAGAGAUAAUCUAAUGAAAAAGGCCUGUGGGUCAAGAUCAGGACAGCAAUUACUGCCACAGUCAAAACAGACUUGACUUGGGGAAAAUUAGUUUUAUUUAUAACCAAUCAAAUCAGAGUAGGGUAAUGAGAAACAAACAAAUAAAUCUUAAAACACCUUCCCUUCUUCCUGGACUUAAAUUUGAACCCAGUUUUCUCUACCUCCUCCCAUUGUUGGGGAACAGUAGUUGUCAGUUCUCUUGUGCUCCUUCCUCCUCAGGGGAGGACUUCUCACACUCUUCUGCUCCAGUGUUGGGAACAGGUAAAGGCAUGUCUCUCAUGGCAGAUAGUUCUCCAUGAGCUUCUCCAACGUGGGCCCUUCUCAUAGGAUGCCAUUCUUCACAAACUUCUUCAGUGCAAGUCCCUUCCGUGGGGUGCAGUCCUUCAGCAGCAGACUGCUUCAGCAUGGGUCCCAUGGGGGAUCACGAGUGC